Molecule: ribosomal RNA, 404 nt
Filed under: uncultured bacterium
Lineage: Bacteria
Description: bacterial SSU rRNA
Rfam family: Bacterial small subunit ribosomal RNA
Source: RNAcentral
CAGGGAAUAUUAGUAAUGGGCGAAGGCCUGAACUAGCAACGCCGCGUGUGCGAAGAAGGCCUUCGGGUUGUAAAGCACUUUUUGAGAGGAUGAGGAAGGACGGUACUCUCAGAAUAAGUCUCGGCUAACUACGUGCCAGCAGCCGCGGUAACACGUAGGAGGCGAACGUUAUCCGGAUUUACUGGGCGUAAAGCGCGUGUAGGUGGUUUGGUAAGUAGGGCGUGAAAGCUCCUGGCUCAACUGGGAGAGGCCGUUCUAAACUGCCGAACUAGAGGAUGGUAGAGGGAGGUGGAAUUCCGGGUGUAGCGGUGGAAUGCGCAGAUAUCCGGAGGAACACCAGUGGCGAAAGCGGCCUCCUGGACCAUUCCUGACACUCAGACGCGAAAGCUAGGGUAGCAAACGGG